Molecule: long non-coding RNA, 3424 nt
Organism: Cryptomeria japonica (Japanese cedar)
Lineage: Eukaryota; Viridiplantae; Streptophyta; Pinopsida; Cupressales; Cupressaceae
Exons: 3
Source: RefSeq, a predicted model, not a curated record
AUCAAAACGCCUCUAAUUCGAACAAGGGCAUGCAAAUGAUAUUUUGGAAGAAACCCUAAAAAGUCUUUAUUCUUCAUUUUGUUUUCUCAGAGAAGUUCUCUUCUACCGCCAUGCACAUGCCGCAUCUAUUGUAACUGGAAGUGACAUUUCCAACCGAGACUUGACAGGGUUUUGAACUAAUCUUCUGAUAGCUCUAACUGGGAUUUCUUUACAUGGAUUCAACUUGCUAUUUGCAUGAGAUUUUGAAGUGUUGACUGUAAAUUUCAUAAAGACCCAUGUGUUCUUAUUCCAAACACCUCUCAUUGAUAGUUGUACAUAUAUCAGUUUUUCCAGUCAUUGGCUUUUCAUCAUGAAUCUAGGACUGUGUAAAUGGUUAGGCAUUCAUUACCAGGGCUGCCUUUUCUUCACGGGUUCUCUCUCACUAUGUUGAUAAGACUAUCUUCAUUUGCUCAUUGCAUACUUUAUGGAAGAUCAUGGCUUCAAAUCUGUAAGGACAGAUUCUUAGGUCUCUGACCUUAACAAAGAAAAGGUUGUAUAUUUUUUAUUUAGGAAUCUUGCUUCUUUUUCAACUUUGAGGCUACUCUUCUUGUAAUCGUAUUUACCAGUGAAUUCAUUAUAAAACACUCUUAUCAUAGGCUCUGAUUUUGGCUCUUACUAUGACUAUGUAUUUGGCUAAUAUAACAAUCUACAUCUUUGACUCCUGAUAAAAGGAUCUCUGCCAUAGCUAUAGUCAGUGUCAUUAUUCAAUAUUGCACGGUGUUAAAAGGUAAUGUAUAUAACUUAUUGAUAACAAAACCAAUCACUGUCACAUGACUGCUUUGAAUCUUUAUAUUUGCUCAUAGACUGCUUUAUUAUGAACCUUUUUUGAGAUCAAUUAUUAAAAUACAAGAAUCAUCUCAUUGAUCAUAGAAUCCAUGACUAAGGUACUUUGAAAGACACUUCUCUUGAUAGUGAUGAGCCUGAUGUGACUGUAUUUGACAGUCACUGUGUGCUAUUGAUAUUAGUGACUGCAUUAUAACUAUGAUCAAAUUAUUUGGGAAGGUUGUGAUGAUCUAACUCAGUCUUACUAUAUGAGACAUAGUGAGUUUUGUGAUUACUUCUUAUGGCUAUGAUAUUGUGAUCUCUUAUCUUGGACUAUGGAUGAUGUCCUUUGACUGUCAUAAGCCUCCCUACGGUGUUUUGCUAGGAUUUCUCACAUAUUUCUCUAAUCAUAUAACUAGUCCACUGGUCUUAGUUGUACUGAACUUUCAUUGAUGCUUAGGCCAUCCCUGCCUUUGAAUGAACACUUUGCCAUUUCACUGCCUUUUCUUAUGACUGCCUAUUGGUAGCUUUGAUACUAAGAUUUGGAUUAGUAUUUUCACUAUUUUACGCAUAAUUUGAGUAUAGCAUAGCACUAAUAUGAAUGUCUUUAUAUAUAUGACUACUUCAAAGCCCCAAUAAAUGUGCUUACUGUGAUAUUUUCUUCAUAAGUUCAUGAUGUGUGGCUGGUAGUAACUGGAUCUUUUCUUUUAUUUCUCUUUUGUAGUUAGUAUGGUGACCGCAAACUUAAAUUUUAGUCAUUGUUGCAUAUCUCCAUGAGUCAUUGUCCAUGUAACCAUUUUUGUUAUGGGUUGCUCACUGUUAUCAGCUUGAUAAUCUCACUGUGCUUUGAUCUUGUCACUAUCAUUGCUUGCUUGGUCUAUCUAAUCAUUAUUCAUCUAAGCAUUGUGACCUUUAUUGUUGCUCAUGAUCUUUCUUUUGACAGUGGAUAACUUCCUAUCACUAUAUCUUGGUAUAGGUAUGAGCUCUUUCAAUACAUAAUGAUUGUCCCUUAUUUGUAUUGCUAUCUUUUGCCAGAAAAACCUCUUGUCUUAUUCUUCCAAUCUGUUAUAAUGUCCUCCAUUUCUUUCAUUUUUCUAGAUAGGGUUGUGAUAGUGCAUUAGGGGAAUUACAGUUGCAUUCCUUUCACUAUUUUGUUACUAUAGAGUUCCCUAUAGGUCACUCUUUUGCUACUUUAUUCUAUUCACUGUUAUUAUGGUCUAUCAUCUCAUUUCCCAAAACUCAUAAUAUUGAUCAUGAAUGGACUUUGUUGCUCUCUAUUGGUCUUUUUAAUGAUAACUGUUGAUGAAGCCUAUAGCAUAACUAUCUUUAUGAUUUCCUUCUUAUUCCUUUGGGUGUAACCUUGUAGCUUAUGUGAGUUGGCUUUGUAGUACCCCUGCCCUAAUCAGAUUGUAAAACCUGGUUUGACCUUGGUUGACUUUUUAAGUGGCAUUCUUGGAUGGUUGAUUUACCAUGUAGUAAUGUUAUAGUCAGAUAUUAUGAUUAUUGUGCGUACCUGUAAAUUUUCUUUUCGCAUCAAUUCUUAUGUAAGAUUAUUUGUUCUUCUGUUUCAUGUUAUUAAUCUUGGGCUAACACUUUCAUUCAAUAUAUAUGUAUGCAUGUGUGGUUCAUGGUUGCAGGAGAUUGCAGGUACAGUACCACAUAGGUACAAGGUUCAUCUCCACUUGGAUUCACAGGUUUGAGUGUACCUCAUCGGUCCUAAGGAAUUGGAUUGGGUAGUCAUAAGACCCUCGUCCUACCCUAGUCAUGCUCAAGUGAGCAUCGUCAAUCAUCCAUUAGUUUCCCCUUUGGUUGGGUAUGCGGAUCGUGUAUUUGUUUGGCUUUCUUGCAUUGCGUGUUGUGCGUGUGGUAAAAUUGAUUAUUUAAUCCCAAGUAUUUAAUUAGAUUGAAUGUGUUUUUACGCAUUAGUAAAUUAAGGGACUAAAUUAAAUAGGACCCUUUUGUGUGAUUAAUCAAUAAUUAGAAUUGCUCAAUUUAUGUUUGUAGCAAGUUGAUUAAAUAGUUAUUUUUAAAUGAUGAAGUUAUUUAGUAUAUGCAUUUUGGAAGGAAAGGUUAAAUAGUAUUCGAAAAUAGAAAUAUUUUACACUCUUUGGCAUUUUGAAAUAGAAAUGUUAGUUUUAAUUAAAUUAAGAAAAUCAAUUUUAGAAGAAAAAGCAAGUUUUGCAUAUUUGAAUUGUUUGGGAAAAAUGAUUUUUCCUUUUUAUUUGGAGGAAAAUAUUUUAAAUGCAAAAAAAUGAUUUUUGGUCAAACAAUUUCCCUUUUUAACCUAGGUUUUGAAAAUAUUUCUGGAGAGUUAUUUUUGGAAUGAAAUUUUGGGCAUUUGUGGGAGAAGGAUUUUCUUGAGCUUGGAGGCUGGGCUCUUCAUCAAAUCAUUCCCAAGGUUGCUGAAAAAGGUUUGAAAAUCUCAUAUAUUUUGUGGAAUAUGGAAGAGUUGUAGUUAAAUCUCAAAUUUAAACCCUCCUUUCUUUCAUUCCCAACCUCCAGAUCAAAUUUUGGUUGCUCAAAUUGAUCUCAAAAUCAAAAAAAUGGGGUUGGUUGUUCAUAAUAAAAUUUUGUUAAAACUCCAAUGAAUGUUUUCAGAUUCAAGUUUUAAAUUGGGAAAUUA